CCUACGGGAGGCUGCAGUGGGGAAUAUUGCACAAUGGGCGCAAGCCUGAUGCAGCCAUGCCGCGUGUGUGAAGAAGGCCUUCGGGUUGUAAAGCACUUUCAGCGGGGAGGAAGGCGGUGAGGUUAAUAACCUCAUCGAUUGACGUUACCCGCAGAAGAAGCACCGGCUAACUCCGUGCCAGCAGCCGCGGUAAUACGGAGGGUGCAAGCGUUAAUCGGAAUUACUGGGCGUAAAGCGCACGCAGGCGGUCUGUCAAGUCGGAUGUGAAAUCCCCGGGCUCAACCUGGGAACUGCAUUCGAAACUGGCAGGCUAGAGUCUUGUAGAGGGGGGUAGAAUUCCAGGUGUAGCGGUGAAAUGCGUAGAGAUCUGGAGGAAUACCGGUGGCGAAGGCGGCCCCCUGGACAAAGACUGACGCUCAGGUGCGAAAGCGUGGGGAGCAAACAGGAUUAGAUACCGAUAGUC
Molecule: ribosomal RNA, 463 nt
Filed under: uncultured Klebsiella sp.
Lineage: Bacteria; Pseudomonadati; Pseudomonadota; Gammaproteobacteria; Enterobacterales; Enterobacteriaceae
Description: bacterial SSU rRNA
Rfam family: Bacterial small subunit ribosomal RNA
Source: RNAcentral